RNAcentral lists this ribosomal RNA (446 nucleotides) under uncultured bacterium. RNAcentral's name for it is "partial 16S ribosomal RNA". It matches the Rfam family "Bacterial small subunit ribosomal RNA", at positions 338 to 795 of the family's 1533-position model. The record is from RNAcentral.
CCUACGGGAGGCAGCAGUCGAGAAUCAUUCACAAUGGGGGAAACCCUGAUGGUGCGACGCCGCGUGGGGGAAUGAAGGUCUUCGGAUUGUAAACUCUUGUCAUGUGGGAGCAAAUUAAAAAGAUAGCACCACAAGAGGAAGAGACGGCUAACUCUGUGCCAGCAGCCGCGGUAAUACAGAGGUCUCAAGCGUUGUUCGGAAUCACGGGGCGUAAGGCGGGCGUAGGCUGUUUCGUAAGUCGUAUGUGAAAGGGGCGGGCUCAACCCGCGGGCGGCACAUGAUACUGCGGAGCUAGAGUAGAGGAGGGGGAACCGGAAUUCUCAGUGUAGCAGUGAAAUGCGUAGAUAUCGGGAGGAACACUCGUGGCGAAGGCGGGUUCCUGGACAUUAACUGACGCUGAGGCACGAAGGCCAGGGGAGCGAAAGGGAUUAGAUACCCUUGUAGUC